AAUUGUAGGUGGUUCGUGUGUGGAUCUCGUCAGCAUAUCGUCGCAAACAGGAAAUUCCCAACCAUAGUGGGCUUGGAGCUGUGAGGGAAUUCGGAGUGGCCACCCAUUCUGAAAGUUUGAUUUUCUUCUGGUAAACUGGACAUCCUUUUAUUUACGUUUAAAGUUUUGGGUUUUUAAAUGUAAUAAGGCCGCUUAAUUA
Long non-coding RNA from Gossypium arboreum, 199 nucleotides. RefSeq lists it as uncharacterized. NCBI's taxonomy places the organism in Eukaryota, Viridiplantae, Streptophyta, Magnoliopsida, Malvales, Malvaceae. The record is from RefSeq and is a predicted model, not a curated record. The transcript is spliced from 2 exons.